Molecule: ribosomal RNA, 451 nt
Filed under: Klebsiella variicola
Lineage: Bacteria; Pseudomonadati; Pseudomonadota; Gammaproteobacteria; Enterobacterales; Enterobacteriaceae
Also listed under: 1 other name
Description: bacterial SSU rRNA
Rfam family: Bacterial small subunit ribosomal RNA
Source: RNAcentral
AAAUUGAAGAGUUUGAUCAUGGCUCAGAUUGAACGCUGGCGGCAGGCCUAACACAUGCAAGUCGAGCGGUAGCACAGAGAGCUUGCUCUCGGGUGACGAGCGGCGGACGGGUGAGUAAUGUCUGGGAAACUGCCUGAUGGAGGGGGAUAACUACUGGAAACGGUAGCUAAUACCGCAUAACGUCGCAAGACCAAAGUGGGGGACCUUCGGGCCUCAUGCCAUCAGAUGUGCCCAGAUGGGAUUAGCUGGUAGGUGGGGUAACGGCUCACCUAGGCGACGAUCCCUAGCUGGUCUGAGAGGAUGACCAGCCACACUGGAACUGAGACACGGUCCAGACUCCUACGGGAGGCAGCAGUGGGGAAUAUUGCACAAUGGGCGCAAGCCUGAUGCAGCCAUGCCGCGUGUGUGAAGAAGGCCUUCGGGUUGUAAAGCACUUUCAGCGGGGAGGAAG